CGGGGACCCCCUCACAGGGCAGGCGCCUUCGUCGGCAGCUCUGAUGAAUCAGGCUGUGGUCGUGCCACCCCGCCUCGUCCCGAUUGGAGGCUGCGGGACGACGCGCCAGACGUGGACCGUAAAGAGGGCUCCACUCGCCACCUGCCCCCCGUGGACGCGCUGGAAACGAGACCUGACUGAUUUAAGAUGGAUCGGGAGCAGACUCAAGCUCAUCUAAGCAAGCCUGGAAAGGGAGCCCCGCUGUGUGCAAGGAGCACUUUAUCCUAGCUGUUCUUUUCCUGUUCAGCAAACUUCAUGUUGCCUCAGGACAAACACCGCCUUUGCCCAGGCUGUGAUGAAGGGUCUGCCCUGCUUUUGACACAGGCCCAGGUGCUAUUGUGGCAGGAGUGCCCGGGGCCAGCAUCCUUCUGACGGCUGAUCAAAAAAACAAACCCAGCGUUCACCUGAAGAGGCUGCCAACCUUCUGGGAAGACCAGCCAAACCUCCCUCCAACUCACCCUCGCCUUCAAGCUCUACUUGCCAAGCUCUCCUCUUUCAACAUUCAGCGCAAAUGUUUCCCAUCUCGGCACAUUUCUGUGCUGUGUUCAAGCAAAAUGGGCUUCAGUGAGGUGCCUGUUUCUAGGCUACAAGGUAACCUAAAGUCAGAAAUCGUGGGGUAAAAUUACAGUUAAACAGGAUAUGGGUUUGGCUGGCUGGCCACCACACACCUGGAGUCCUAGCAGUUCAGGUGCAGAGGCCGGAAGAUCAUUUGUGUCCUGAAGUCGGGACUGGCCCGGGCAACACUGGCCACAACAAAACAUACAAGAUUAUUUUCAAAUAAUAUGUUCAAAUUUCAAUUAGAAAUGGAUGUAAUUGUUGAUCUUUUCAAAACACGUUAAAAAAACAGCCCAUUCUUCUGGA
Meriones unguiculatus (Mongolian gerbil) is the source of this 900-nucleotide long non-coding RNA. RefSeq lists it as uncharacterized. Lineage: Eukaryota; Metazoa; Chordata; Mammalia; Rodentia; Muridae. The record is from RefSeq and is a predicted model, not a curated record. The transcript has 4 exons.